GAUGAACGCUGGCGGCGUGCCUAAUACAUGCAAGUCGAGCGAACAGACGAGGAGCUUGCUCCUCUGACGUUAGCGGCGGACGGGUGAGUAACACGUGGAUAACCUACCUAUAAGACUGGGAUAACUUCGGGAAACCGGAGCUAAUACCGGAUAAUAUAUUGAACCGCAUGGUUCAAUAGUGAAAGACGGUUUUGCUGUCACUUAUAGAUGGAUCCGCGCCGCAUUAGCUAGUUGGUAAGGUAACGGCUUACCAAGGCAACGAUGCGUAGCCGACCUGAGAGGGUGAUCGGCCACACUGGAACUGAGACACGGUCCAGACUCCUACGGGAGGCAGCAGUAGGGAAUCUUCCGCAAUGGGCGAAAGCCUGACGGAGCAACGCCGCGUGAGUGAUGAAGGUCUUCGGAUCGUAAAACUCUGUUAUUAGGGAAGAACAAAUGUGUAAGUAACUAUGCACGUCUUGACGGUACCUAAUCAGAAAGCCACGGCUAACUACGUC
RNAcentral lists this ribosomal RNA (497 nucleotides) under uncultured bacterium. Its description in RNAcentral is "partial 16S ribosomal RNA". It matches the Rfam family "Bacterial small subunit ribosomal RNA", at positions 28 to 507 of the family's 1533-position model. The record is from RNAcentral.